AGUCUUUUAGUUUAUUUAAAAACAUUAAAUUGCAAAUUUAAAAAUGAGUUAAUUUCUAAGACUU
This 64-nucleotide transfer RNA is filed under the name Opamata lipcowa. RNAcentral describes it as "tRNA-Cys". Lineage: Eukaryota; Metazoa; Arthropoda; Insecta; Hemiptera; Cicadellidae. The record is from RNAcentral.